AGAACGAACGCUGGCGGCAUGCCUAACACAUGCAAGUCGAACGCUUCCGGGGCUUCGGUCGCGGAGGAGUGGCGCACGGGUGAGUAGCGCGUGGGAACCUGCCCUGUUGUGGGGGAUAACCGAGGGAAACUUCGGCUAAUACCGCAUACGCCCCGGGACUUGGUCUUCGGAUUAGGUCUGGGGGGAAAGAUUGAUCGCAGCAGGAGGGGCCCGCGUCGGAUUAGCUGGUUGGUGGGGUAACGGCUCACCAAGGCGAUGAUCCGUAGCUGGUCUGAGAGGAUGAUCAGCCACACUGGGACUGAGACACGGCCCAGACUCCUACGGGAGGCAGCAGUGGGGAAUAUUGGACAAUGGGGGCAACCCUGAUCCAGCAAUGCCGCGUGAGUGAUGAAGGCCUUAGGGUUGUAAAGCUCUUCGCCCGCGACGAUGAUGACGGUAGCGGGAGAAGGAAGCCCCGGCUAACGUUCGCGCCAGCAGCCGCGU
This 483-nucleotide ribosomal RNA is filed under the name uncultured bacterium. RNAcentral describes it as "SSU rRNA". It matches the Rfam family "Bacterial small subunit ribosomal RNA", at positions 26 to 520 of the family's 1533-position model. The record is from RNAcentral.